UUGACUGGUUCUUCCUCCCGGGUCACUGUACUUCCAGCACCUUCAAUUCAGCUAUAGCCGCAGGAGAGCAACUCAGGACCCGAGUCCAAGAGAUUACAACACAACUCGAGUCAACACACUUCGCCUGACGCCAGGUGCCCAGCCAAGGUGUUCAAAACCUGUUGAGAAGAUUCCGAAUGUCCUCACCUUCUGAAGGCAUCUCACACGAAGUUCAUUUCACCUGGGCCCUUCAGAGUGCAGGACACCGCACACCAGCACAGUGGUUGGGAGCUUGUAGAAGGUGAGCAACGCAGAGGAAGUAACUGCUACUUUAUCAUGGCGACCAACUUUGCAGGAUGUGGUUUCCUGGCCAUCUGCACCACAGGCGAGAACCGUGAAGGCGUCCAGCAAGUCACAUGAGAAAGCCACAGCCAGCACCUGUAUCCAGUUCUGGCUCAUGCCACAUCAAACUACACCUGUUCUGUCCUCAGCUUUGAUGUCAACUUGACGCAAGCUGGAGUCAUCUGUGAGGAAGGAACCAAGAAAAUGCCUUCCUAAGAUCGGGCAGGAGACAGAUUCGAAACCAAAUAGGCAAGAAGCCUAGAAAACAGCUGGGGGAAUCACAAGGUUUCUGGUGUUCUUUGGGGCUUAGGGGAGCCUGACAAGCAGAAUCAGGAAAUGAACCAUGACUGCUGAAAGUACUGCAGAGCUUCCUUCUAGCCCCCGCAGACAGAUCGGCUUCUGCAGUGCCCAAGAAGGCCAAAGAGGGCAUCAGAUUGCCCUAAAACUGGAGUUACAGCCAGAUGAGAGCUACCAUGUGAACAUAGUGGCUUCUGUUGCUUGCUGCCUCUGUCAUUGGCUCACGGAAACUACACUCCCACGAGGGUGAGGACCACAACAAAAAUCUGUUGCCAACCACAACUGUAAAUCAGAGAAGCCUGCGCAGGCUUACGCUUGAUCUGAGCUUUGCUGACCCAGGAAUGGACUCCCUACUUCACGAGAAAACUGAGUGAGGAAGCUUCGGGGAUCUGACUCACGGGCUGCUGUUCAUAGCCAGCCUCAGCUUUCUCCAGUGACAAAGCCGGCCUACAACCCUUGUGGCCACUUGCUCCCUCAGCUACCUCUGUGUUCCCUUAGCCUACACGACUGCUUACCCUGUAGCCCUGCUGUGACCCCAUUCCUUUCUAGCUAAUGUCACCUCUUAGUAGUUAAACUGAGCCUUGGGGACGGUGCCUGUAAUAUCAGUGUUCUGGAGGCCGAGCUGGGGAGACCUGGAGUUUGAAACUUAGUGAGAACUUUUUCUGUGGUCCUCAAUCUCCUUCCAUUCCCCAUGCAGCAGCCACAUUCUUCAGGAAGCAAUCCAGGCCCUUCAGUGGGAUACAGUUCCUCUCUCCCGUCUCUUCCAUCCCAGUUCUGUUUGGUUUUGUUUUUUUUUCUCUCAAGGCGCGUCUAUCUUACUUGGCAUUUACUGUUAUCUUCUAUGCUGGAUUUCUUGUAGAAAGAGGGCAGGGCUUCUGGCCUUAUACAUCCCCAACAUUCUAUUAAUAUCUAGUAUGUGCGAAGACUGUAAAGUCAGUUGGUUCUAGGCCACAUUGCAUUCCACUUGGCCUUGCUGAGGUGCCUACUUCCCUCAGGGCCACUGGAUGUUUGAAGUGGACUACAACGGCCUUGAGAGAGGCAGUGCCUUAGUAACAAAGAAACGUUCUUCAGUCUCCCCCGGUCACUGCCUCCGCUGCUGCUUUCGGUGAACAGCAUUACUGGUGACAGCUGGAAGUGAAGAGGGGGUUGUCCCCAAGAGGAAAGAAAGCGUAGGAGUGAGAUUGCGAGUACUUACUUGUCUCGAUGCUUUGACAAAAAUAUCUGAAAAAAAGCUAUUUAAGGAGGGGAACGUUUUGGUUUCUUAGAGAGAGAGAGAGAAAGAGCAAGCUGGCACAUACAUGCCAUAGUGUGGGUGCCGGUUCUUGCCUUCUGCUUCGCUUGAGACAGGAUCCCCUUUUCUGUGGUUUACCAGGCAUACUCUAGCAAGCUGGCCCACCUCCAGUCUUGCCAUGGGGUUACUGGGGUUAUAGAUAUGUACUAUUGCACCCAAAUGGACAUGGGUUCUGAGGGUUCAAACUUGACACUCACUUUUGCAUGGUAAACACUUUAUCCACUGAACCAUCUCCACAGCCCGGGAAGGAAUGGUUUAUUAUGGCUUGUCUAGGGGAUAUAGUCUUCAUCAUGGUAGAGAAGGCACGACAGAGGAAUAUGAGGCAGCUGGCCACCCUGUGUCCACAGUUCAAAAGCAGAGAACAAUGAAUAUCCGUACUUAGCUUGCUUUUUGCUUUUUACACAGUCCAGGAUCCCACAUUUUGGGUGAGUAUCCACACCUCAAUCAACCUAAUCUAAAUAACCUCCCACAGGCAUGCCUUGUCUCUUCAGCAAUUCCAGACCUUUCCAAGCUGACAAUCUCCAACAGCCACAGUAGAGAAAUACUAUGCUGGCAUGAAGAGUGUCCCCAGAAGUUCAUAUCCACUUAGAACUCCAAGACGGGACCUCCUUUGGAAAUAAGGCAUUUGCAGAUGUAUUUAGUGAAUCUCUGAAUUAAUACUGGCUUAAGGUGACUGUUCUCUUUAUAAAACCACACAGAGGCGCUGUGGCCUAUGCUCCCACAGGAGGACAUGCUGAUAUCCAUGACUUGUGUUGGCACCAAGGGCCAUGAUGGUGCCCGUGAUCCAUGCUGCAGCCAGAGGCUGUAUGGAUGGCCAUGGCCAUGGUCUGUGUUACUGCCGAAGGCUAUGUAGAUGUCAUGCCUAUGUUGUAACCGAGGGACUUGUUGAUGUCCAUGGCCCAUGCUGUUGCUGACAGCAAAGGGCAAGGAAGCUUCUCUUGCAGUGGUGUUGGUGACUGCAGACUCACAGUUGAGACUAAGGGACUUCACAGGCUUCUGUGACAACUUCUCUCCCCCAACCCACACCCCAGUCCCCCUAAAAGAAAUAAUCUAUGUGGGGCAAUGGUUUGUACCCUGUCAAUUGUAUUUUAAUAAAAUGCUGAUUGGCCAGUAGCCAGGCAGGAAGUAUAGGCUGGGCAAUGAGAGCAGGAGAAUUCUGGGAAGAAGGAAGUCGUGACCCAGCCACAGAAGAAGCAAGAUGUGACGGCCUCGUCAAAUAAGGUACCGAGACACGUGGCUGACAUAGCCAUGAAUAAUGGGCUAAUAUAAGAGUUAAUGAGAAGUCUGAGCUACUAGGCCAAUCAGUUUAUAACUAA
This is a non-coding RNA of Myodes glareolus (Bank vole), 3225 nucleotides long. The record is from RefSeq and is a predicted model, not a curated record. NCBI's taxonomy places the organism in Eukaryota, Metazoa, Chordata, Mammalia, Rodentia, Cricetidae.